Molecule: ribosomal RNA, 442 nt
Filed under: uncultured bacterium
Lineage: Bacteria
Description: partial 16S ribosomal RNA
Rfam family: Bacterial small subunit ribosomal RNA
Source: RNAcentral
CCUACGGGUGGCAGCAGUAGGGUAUCUUUCACAAUGGGCGAAAGCCUGAUGGAGCAACGCCGCGUGCAGGAUGAAGGCCUUCGGGUUGUAAACUGCUUUUAUAAGCGAGAAAUAUGAUGGUAACUUAUGAAUAAGGAUCGGCUAACUACGUGCCAGCAGCCGCGGUCAUACGUAGGAUCCGAGCAUUAUCCGGAGUGACUGGGUGUAAAGAGUUGCGUAGGUGGCAUAAUAGGUAGCUAGUGAAAUCUGGUGGCUCAACCAUUCAGACUAUUAGCUAAACUGUUAAGCUCGAGACCGUUAGGGGUAACUGGAAUUUCUAGUGUAGGAGUGAAAUCCGUAGAUAUUAGAAGGAACACCAAUAGCGUAGGCAGGUUGCUGGGACGGUUCUGACACUAAGGCACGAAAGCGUAGGGAGCAAACGGGAUUAGAUACCCGUGUAGUC